This is a long non-coding RNA of Oryza brachyantha (malo sina), 878 nucleotides long. RefSeq lists it as uncharacterized. The record is from RefSeq and is a predicted model, not a curated record. The transcript is spliced from 5 exons. Lineage: Eukaryota; Viridiplantae; Streptophyta; Magnoliopsida; Poales; Poaceae.
GAUUAUUUUCUAGAUUGUUCAUGAUUCUUAACAAUAUGAAGAGAUGAGUGUCAGUUUUGACUUUGGAUGUAUGCAACUCAUUGCUCAUGAUCCCUCUACAUGUUUGACUACACUUCUACACUGCAUUGCAGAAUAUAACAAACCAAUUCACAAUUUUCUUAUGCUAAAACAUGCAGCGGUCUAGCUUGCAGUUUGGUAUUCAUUUUCUUUUUCUUUCAUUAGCUAUCCUGAUUAUGGAAUGAUCAAGCUUGCUUUUCCAUGUGGCCUUAGAAAUAAUCAACUUCACCGAAUGUCAACAAGAAGGCAUGAGCUUACGUGUAGCACAGCAUGGAAGCACGCUCCUUGCUCUGCUAUGGUCAAGUUUGUACAGUUUGCUUUGUUGUUGUUAGAAAGAGGUACAUACUACCUGCAUCAGGAGCAGGAUUUCUCUUGAAUGAAACCCGUCAUUUUCUUUGCAAAGAUCCAUCAAAAAGACAAUAAAGGCUAACUCAUAUUGAUUUGUCUGCAUUCCUACGAGAGAGUUCAACUACAUUUUCUACUCUACACUAACUGUAUUAUCUGGUGUCCCAAGUAUCAAAUGUCAUAGGUGUUGGUACUGCAUGUUGGUAACCGAGAAUUAUCUAAACCUUAUUCUGUUCGCCUAUGAAUUACUUAUAUGGUACUGUUGAGCGUGUAAUUUUGCUUGGAGUUCUUCUGGGUUUCAAGCUAGUCCUAUGAAAAAAAGUUUUGCCAUCAUGUACAAAAUUUCUUGAUAUAUUCCUACAUGCCGUAGUUUGUGUUGUGGAGCCAUUUUUGUGGUUGUCAUAUGCUACCGCAAAAUUGGAAGCACUUUUGUGGAAAUGACUGAAACAAUUCUGUUUUCAUUUAUAUUUAUUUGC